This 386-nucleotide unclassified non-coding RNA is filed under the name uncultured Phycisphaeraceae bacterium. Its description in RNAcentral is "contains 16S-23S intergenic spacer region". Lineage: Bacteria; Pseudomonadati; Planctomycetota; Phycisphaerae; Phycisphaerales; Phycisphaeraceae. The record is from RNAcentral.
UCCGAUUUGACACCGGCAGUCUCGCUAGAGUCCCCGCCUUGACGCGGUGGCAACUAACGACAGGGGUUUCGCUCGUUAAGGGACUUAACCCGACACUUCACAGCACGAGCUGACGACAGCCAUGCAGCACCUGUGCACGUUGUACCCUUGCGGGCCUGGCUCGCCUUUCGGCGAGUUAAUCCGUGCAUGUCAAGCCUAGGAUAAGGUUCUUCGCGUUGCUUCGAAUUGAGCCACAUGCUCCACCGCUUGUGUGAGCCCCCGUCAAUUCCUUUGAGUUUUAGCCUUGCGACCGUACUCCCCAGGCGGUGCACUUACCACUUUUGCUUCGACCCUGAGGACGUCAGAGCCUCCAGGAUCUAGUGCACAUCGUUUACGGCGUGGACUAC